ACGACGCGGCGGCGUGCCUAACACAUCAAGUCGACGGAGAAUUCGAAGAGUUACUCAGAGAAAUUUUAGUGGCGGACGGGUGAGUAACGCGUGGGUAACCUACCCAUAAACCCGGGACAACCCUUGGAAACGAGGGCUAAUACCGGAUAAUCUUAGAACUUGGCAUCAAGGACUAAGGAAAGGUAGCCUCUGAAGAUGCUACCGAUUAUGGAUGGACCCGCGUCUGAUUAGCUAGUUGGUGGGGUAAAGGCCUACCAAGGCGAUGAUCAGUAGCCGGCCUGAGAGGGUGAACGGCCACACUGGGACUGAGACACGGCCCAGACUCCUACGGGAGGCAGCAGUGGGGAAUCUUCCGCAAUGGACGAAAGUCUGACGGAGCAACGCCGCGUGUAUGAUGAAGGUCUUCGGAUUGUAAAGUACUGUCUUUGGGGAAGAAUGUCAGGUUUGAAAAUAUUGAGCCUGAAUGACGGUACCCAAGGAGGAAGCCCCGGCUAACUACGUGCCAGCAGCCGCGGUAAUACGUAGGGGGCAAGCGUUGUCCGGAAUUAUUGGGCGUAAAGGGCGCGUAGGCGGAUGUUUAAGUCCGGUGUGAAAGAUCAGGGCUCAACCCUGAGAGUGCAUCGGAAACUGGGCAUCUUGAGGACAGGAGAGGAAAGUGGAAUUCCACGUGUAGCGGUGAAAUGCGUAGAUAUGUGGAGGAACACCAGUGGCGAAGGCGACUUUCUGGACUGUAACUGACGCUGAGGCGCGAAAGCGUGGGGAGCAAACAGGAUUAGAUACCCUGGUAGUCCACGCUGUAAACGAUGAGUGCUAGGUGUAGAGGGUAUCGACCCCUUCUGUGCCGCAGUAACACAAUAAGCACUCCGCC
This 868-nucleotide ribosomal RNA is filed under the name uncultured bacterium. RNAcentral's name for it is "bacterial SSU rRNA". It matches the Rfam family "Bacterial small subunit ribosomal RNA", at positions 29 to 873 of the family's 1533-position model. The record is from RNAcentral.